CUGCAGAUGUACAGAACAGUGAAGGGCACAGACAGAUCAUGCGUUGCAGGCCUUGGGCAGCAGGCCAGAGGCAUGGCCUUUCUGAGAAGAGGUGCUGGUGAAGUGGAUGGCUUUGAUGUUUUCAACAGCAGCAGCUCGGUCAACACCACCACUACGUGUGUUCAUUUUCAUUCCUUUGUUGAGAUUUCUGGAUAUUCUGGAUUAUUUGAUGAUCAUGUUCAUGUAUUUCAUAAUUCUGCUUAUGGAUAUGUUAAGUAACUGCUUAUGGAUGCUUAUGGAUGAUUGCGUUUCAUAAUUGCUA
This is a long non-coding RNA of Panicum hallii, 301 nucleotides long. RefSeq lists it as uncharacterized. The transcript is spliced from 2 exons. Lineage: Eukaryota; Viridiplantae; Streptophyta; Magnoliopsida; Poales; Poaceae. The record is from RefSeq and is a predicted model, not a curated record.